AUGACACAGUUAUAUUAUAGUCCUUAUUUUAAAGGUGAACUCUACUUUUAACGUGACAGUUGACCCACAGAUUUAAAAUGGCGCGUGAGAAGUCAUUUUGUAACUACGGACUAUU
Long non-coding RNA from Maniola jurtina (meadow brown), 115 nucleotides. RefSeq lists it as uncharacterized. Lineage: Eukaryota; Metazoa; Arthropoda; Insecta; Lepidoptera; Nymphalidae. The transcript is spliced from 3 exons. The record is from RefSeq and is a predicted model, not a curated record.